Molecule: ribosomal RNA, 484 nt
Filed under: uncultured bacterium
Lineage: Bacteria
Description: partial 16S ribosomal RNA
Rfam family: Bacterial small subunit ribosomal RNA
Source: RNAcentral
AGUGAACGCUGGCGGCGUGCUUAACACAUGCAAGUCGAACGAGAACGGAUUAUAGCUUGCUAUAGUUGUCAGCUAAGCGGCGCACGGGUGAGUAAUGUAUAGGUAAUAUGCCUCUUACUAAGGGAUAACAAAUGGAAACGUUUGCUAAUACCUUAUACUCCUUAUUAACAUAAGUUAAUAAGGGAAAGAUUUAUUGGUAAGAGAUUAGCCUGUAUUGUAUCAGUUAGUUGGUGGGGUAAUGGCUUACCAAGACUAUGACACAUAACUGGUUUGAGAGGAUGAUCAGUCACACUGGAACUGAGACACGGUCCAGACUCCUACGGGAGGCAGCAGUGGGGAAUAUUGCACAAUGGACGAAAGUCUGAUGCAGCAACGCCGCGUGGAGGAUGACACAUUUCGGUGCGUAAACUCCUUUUAUAUGAGAAGAUAAUGACGGUAUUAUAUGAAUAAGCACCGGCUAACUCCGUGCCAGCCGCCGCCGUAA